This 253-nucleotide ribosomal RNA is filed under the name uncultured bacterium. RNAcentral's name for it is "partial 16S ribosomal RNA". It matches the Rfam family "Bacterial small subunit ribosomal RNA", at positions 524 to 776 of the family's 1533-position model. The record is from RNAcentral.
UACGUAGGGUCCGAGCGUUGUCCGGAAUUACUGGGCGUAAAGAGCUCGUAGGUGGUUUGUCGCGUUGUUCGUGAAAACUCACAGCUCAACUGUGGGCGUGCGGGCGAUACGGGCAGACUUGAGUACUGCAGGGGAGACUGGAAUUCCUGGUGUAGCGGUGGAAUGCGCAGAUAUCAGGAGGAACACCGAUGGCGAAGGCAGGUCUCUGGGCAUUAACUGACGCUGAGGAGCGAAAGCAUGGGGAGCGAGCAGG